CCAUGUAACACUGUCCACUGUCUGUCCAUGUAACACUGUCCACUGUCUGUCCACUGUCUGUCCAUGUAACACUGUCCACUGUCUGUCCAUGUAACACUGUCCACUGUCUGUCCAUGUAACACUGUCCACUGUCUGUCCAUGUAACACUGUCCACUGUCUGUCCAUAUAACACUGUUCUCUAUGUGUGUGUGGUGGGGUUUGUGUGUGGUGGGGUUUGUGUGUGGUAGGGAGUGUGUGUGGUAGGGAGUGUGUGUGGUGGGGGGGGUGUGUGUGGUGGGGAGUGUGUGUGGUGGGGUUUGUGUGUGGUAGGGAGUGUGUGUGGUGGGGAGUGUGUGUGGUGGGGAGUGUGUGUGGUGGGGGUUGUGUGUGGUGGGGUUUGUGUGUGGUGGGGUUUGUGUGUGGUGGGGUUUGUGUGUGUGGUAGGGAGUGUGUGUGGUGGGGGGUGUGUG
Oncorhynchus tshawytscha (Chinook salmon) is the source of this 449-nucleotide long non-coding RNA. The record is from Ensembl. NCBI's taxonomy places the organism in Eukaryota, Metazoa, Chordata, Actinopteri, Salmoniformes, Salmonidae.